Molecule: ribosomal RNA, 440 nt
Filed under: uncultured Verrucomicrobiota bacterium
Lineage: Bacteria; Pseudomonadati; Verrucomicrobiota
Description: bacterial SSU rRNA
Rfam family: Bacterial small subunit ribosomal RNA
Source: RNAcentral
AACGCGAAGAACCUUACCUAGCCUUGACAUGCAUCUCUAAGUCGGUGAAAGCCGGCGACUGUAGCAAUACAGAAUUUGCACAGGUGCUGCAUGGCUGUCGUCAGCUCGUGUCGUGAGAUGUUGGGUUAAAUCCCGCAACGAGCGCAACCCCUGUGAACUGUCGCCACCGGCCUUCGGGCCGAGUACUCUGUUCAGACUGCCCUGUGAAACGGGGAGGAAGGUGGAGAUGACGUCAAGUCAGCAUGGCCCUUACGGCUAGGGCUGCACACGUACUACAAUGCUCAGUACAGAAUGAACCGAAACCGCGAGGUGGAGGAAAUCCCUAAAACUGAGCCCAAUUCGGAUUGGAGGCUGCAACUCGCCUCCAUGAAGCCGGAAUCACCGGUAAUGGCGUAUCAGGUACGACGCCGUGAAUACGUUCCCGGGCCUUGUACACACCG